Dreissena polymorpha is the source of this 285-nucleotide long non-coding RNA. RefSeq lists it as uncharacterized. The transcript has 2 exons. Lineage: Eukaryota; Metazoa; Mollusca; Bivalvia; Myida; Dreissenidae. The record is from RefSeq and is a predicted model, not a curated record.
UUUUAACCAGGUUUUCCGAAGGAAAAAACUGGUUAUUAGAUUGGCGAAUGCGGGCGGACUGGCUGGCUGGCUGGCUGGCGGGCUGGCUGGCUGGCUGGCGGAAUAAGCUUGUCCGGGCCAUAACUAUGUCGUUCAUUGUCAGAUUUUAAAAUCAUUUGGCACAUUUGUUCACCAUCAUUGGACGGUGUGUCGCGCGAAAUAAUUACGUCGAUAUCUCCAAGGUCAAGGUCACGCUUUGAGUUCAAAGGUCAAAAAUGGCCAUAAAUGAGCUUGUCCUGGCCAUAA